RNAcentral lists this ribosomal RNA (586 nucleotides) under uncultured bacterium. RNAcentral's name for it is "partial 16S ribosomal RNA". It matches the Rfam family "Bacterial small subunit ribosomal RNA", at positions 355 to 1375 of the family's 1533-position model. The record is from RNAcentral.
UGGGGAAUUUUGGACAAUGGGCGAAAGCCUGAUCCAGCAAUGCCGCGUGUGUGAAGAAGGCCUUCGGGUUGUAAAGCACUUUUGUCCGGAAAGAAAUCCUUGGCUCUAAUACAGUCGGGGGAUGACGGUACCGGAAGAAUAAGCACCGGCUAACUACGUGCCAGCAGCCGCGGUAAUACGUAGGGUGCAAGCGUUAAUCGGAAUUACUGGGCGUAAAGCGUGCGCAGGCGGUUUGCUAAGACCGAUGUGAAAUCCCCGGGCUCAACCUGGGAACUGCAUUGGUGACUGGCAGGCUAGAGUAUGGCAGAGGGGGGUAGAAUUCCACGUGUAGCAGUGAAAUGCGUAGAGAUGUGGAGGAAUACCGAUGGCGAAGGCAGCCCCCUGGGCCAAUACUGACGCUCAUGCACGAAAGCGUGGGGAGCAAAACAGGAUUAGAUACCCUGGUAGUCCACGCCCUAAACGAUGUCAACUAGUUGUUGGGGACUCAUUUCCUUAGUAACGUAGCUAACGCGUGAAGUUGACCGCCUGGGGAGUACGGUCGCAAGAUUAAAACUCAAAUGAAUUGACGGGGUCAUAGCUGUUUCCU